UACGUAGGUGGCAAGCGUUGUCCGGAUUUACUGGGUGUAAAGGGCGAGUAGGCGGGCAUGCAAGUCAGAUGUGAAAUCUGGGGGCUCAACCCCCAAACUGCAUUUGAAACUGUGUGUCUUGAGUGAUGGAGAGGCAGGCGGAAUUCCCGGUGUAGCGGUGGAAUGCGUAGAUAUUAGGAGGAACACCAGUGGCGAAGGCGGCUUGCUGGACGACAACUGACGCUGAGGCGCGAAAGCGUGGGGAGCAA
This 248-nucleotide ribosomal RNA is filed under the name uncultured Oscillospiraceae bacterium. RNAcentral describes it as "partial 16S ribosomal RNA". It matches the Rfam family "Bacterial small subunit ribosomal RNA", at positions 524 to 771 of the family's 1533-position model. Lineage: Bacteria; Bacillati; Bacillota; Clostridia; Eubacteriales; Oscillospiraceae. The record is from RNAcentral.